RNA transcript from Phragmites australis (common reed), 1704 nucleotides. It is a transcript of the gene named serine/arginine-rich splicing factor SR34A-like, with no coding region annotated. Lineage: Eukaryota; Viridiplantae; Streptophyta; Magnoliopsida; Poales; Poaceae. The transcript has 15 exons. The record is from RefSeq and is a predicted model, not a curated record.
UUUCGGGUCGCGACUUCCUUCGGGUGGUCAUAAACCCUCGCCUCCUGCUCCCGUCUCAUCCCCGCCCCCCUCGAGCUCGCAGCCGCGGAAGCCAAACCCUAGCCUCGACCCGCACCUCCAGCCACCGCGUGUUCCGGUUGCAGCAGGGGAGGAUGAGCAGGCGCUGGAGCCGGACGAUCUAUGUCGGGAACCUCCCCGGCGACAUCCGGGAGAGGGAGGUGGAAGAUCUGUUCCACAAGUAUGGGAGAAUUGUUGACAUUGACUUGAAGAUCCCCCCGAGGCCGCCUGGUUAUGCUUUUGUUGAGUUUGAAGAUCCUCGUGAUGCCGAAGAUGCAAUUGCUGGAAGGGAUGGCUACAACUUUGAUGGAAAUCGUCUAAGAGUGGAACCUGCACAUGGUGGUAGAGGUAAUGCUUCCUCGAACGAUCGUUCAAGUGGCUUUGGUGGCGGAGCACGCCGUGGUGUGUCUAGGCACUCAGACUAUCGUGUUCUUGUUAGUGGACUGCCUUCUUCUGCAUCAUGGCAAGAUCUAAAGGACCAUAUGAGGAAAGCAGGUGAUGUCUGUUUCUCUGAAGUUUACCGUGAAGGCGGUGGCACCUUAGGGAUUGUGGACUACUCAAACUAUGAUGAUAUGAAAUAUGCUAUAAAGAAACUGGAUGAUACUGAAUUCAGGAAUGCCUUUGGUCGAGCUUAUAUAAGGGUGAAGGAAUAUGACGGCAAACGUGGCCGCUCAUCACGUAGCCGAAGCCCAAGUCGUAGCUACAGCAGAAGCAGGAGCCCAUCAAAAUCUCCCAGGGCUCGUCGUUCAGCAUCUAGAUCCCGUUCGAGGUCUGUUUCUUCCCGUUCAAGGUCAGCAUCAAAAGGACGUUCCCCAUCAAGACUCGAUUAUCUGGUCAUUUUAUCUGGGAUUGUGCGGCGAUCUGGGGAUUGCGCAUUAGGAUAUUGAGGAUGGGAUUUUCUCAAUUUGCUACAGUUCAGUUGGUUGUAUGAGAGCUUGGGCAUAGCGCAUUGUUUGGAAUACUGGACAUAAGAGCGUUAAGGAUUGAUGAUCUGGAUUAUGGUGGUACAAUUGCUAGGAAUGUGCUUGGAAUUCAAUGCUCGGGAAAUGAGUUUUCUUCCUACCUCGUGCAUACUUCGGAUGGUUGCUGUAGUUCAAUGGCACUGUUUGCAUUUAAUAUGACAACUUUACAUUAUUACAUGCUUUGGACUUACGGAACUGAAUGCUUCUAUCUUCAAUGAGCUUUUAUCGCUUUCGUUCGGCUGGGCGAGGCGCCAUGGCUUUUGGAAUCAAGUUGUUAAAGCUGCAUUUGGGAUAUUGAAUUCAGUUGUUUGUGGAACCUUUUUGCAGAUCACCAGCAAGAUCCAAAUCUCCUAAUGCUUCUCCAGCAAAUGGUGAAGCAGCAAGUCCCAAGAAACAGAGCCCCAGCAGGAGCCCAUCUGGCUCACGUUCUCCCGAUGCCAAACCUGAAUAGAACUGCUGUGCUGAUGAGGAAUUGCGGAUGGAGUCCUGAUCUCAGUAUCUGAGCAACUGCGCAAUGAGAUUCCAGGAUAUUAACUAUCAGCUUGUAUCGAUGGAAACUCCAGACUAAUGCACUGUUAUUUUUGUCUAGCCUGUGUAAGGGCAUAUUUACUUUGACUAGUAUUGAUUGUUGAAUGCUAUGUGGAUUGUCUUGACUAAAGCUCAUGUUUUGAAUUGUUGUGGACCA